Pseudoliparis swirei is the source of this 423-nucleotide long non-coding RNA. RefSeq lists it as uncharacterized. Lineage: Eukaryota; Metazoa; Chordata; Actinopteri; Perciformes; Liparidae. The transcript has 3 exons. The record is from RefSeq and is a predicted model, not a curated record.
ACGGUAGUUUCGCGGUACUGCUGUGUCGAGGGCUAACGGUAGUUUCGCGGAACUGCGGUCUCGCUGUCUUGCAUUUCACCGGCGUAUGGUUUAAUUGGCCGACUUUUAUCGCAGGUAUAUGCUAAACUGCGACAGGGACUAAAGAGGAAAAAGCGAGUGCCUAAUUGAUACCAAAACGUUUCUGCAAGAUAUCACCAUGCUGCUGAAGGUGAGAUACCAGAGGACCAAGAAGUACAUCCGAUUACAGCUAGGUUUCACCUAUUUUGAAUUCAUCACUGCAGUCAAAAACAAAUUUGGACUCCAUGAUGCAGCUGAACUUCACAUAUUUGAUGAAACUGACACUGCAGUGGAGGAAGACAUUCUUCUUGAACUGAUAAGAGUCCAAUCCAGACCUUUGCCUGAUCGUGCGUGACAGCAUUUCAG